RNAcentral lists this non-coding RNA (88 nucleotides) under Bacillus sp. (in: firmicutes). RNAcentral describes it as "Bacillus sp. c-di-GMP sequence". It matches the Rfam family "c-di-GMP-I riboswitch aptamer". From Rfam's summary of the family: GEMM was predicted in a large-scale screen for bacterial structured RNA regulatory elements. Genes associated with GEMM are involved in a diverse array of functions, including chemotaxis regulation, signal transduction, secretion and chitin. Lineage: Bacteria; Bacillati; Bacillota; Bacilli; Caryophanales; Bacillaceae. The record is from RNAcentral.
AUUUCCUCUGGGCAAAUUUUACGAAAGUAAAAGACGCAAAGCCACGGGCCUAAAACAGCUUAAUUGUCAUGGCAGCCGGGUUGCACAA